AGAGUAUGAUCCUGGCUCAGAGCGAACGCUGGCGGCGUGCUUAACACAUGCAAGUCGAACGGUUGUAGCAAUACAACCGUGGCGAACGGGUGCGUAACACGUGGAUAACCUUCCUUCAGGUGGGGAAUAACCCAGUGAAAAUUGGGCUAAUACCGCAUAACAAGACGAGGGCACAUGCUUUCGUCUUCAAAGGCGCAAGUCGCCAGAAGAGGGAUCCGCGGCCGAUUAGCUAGUUGGCGGGGUAACGGCCCACCAAGGCAAUGAUCGGUAGCCGGAUUGAGAGGUUGGCCGGCCACACUGGAACUGAGACACGGUCCAGACUCCUACGGGAGGCAGCAGUGGGAAUCUUGCACAAUGGACGAAAGUCUGAUGCAGCAACGCCGCGUGGGGGAUGAAGCUUCUCGGAGUGUAAACCCCUUUCGACCCGGAAGAAAGCCCGCAAGGGUUUGACGGUACGGGUAUAAGAAGCCCCGGCUAACUACGUGCCAGCAGCCGCGGUAAUACGUAGGGGGCCAGCGUUGCUCGGAAUUACUGGGCGUAAAGGGUCCGUAGGCGGUGUGGCAAGUCGGGAGUGAAAUCUCUGGGCUUAACCCAGAGGCUGCUUCCGAAACUGCCGUGCUAGAGUGUGAGAGAGGCGAGUAGAAUUGCGGGUGUAGCGGUGAAAUGCGUAGAUAUCCGCAGGAACAUCCGAGGCGAAAGCGGCUCGCUGGAUCACAACUGACGCUGAGGGACGAAAGCUAGGGGAGCAAACAGGAUUAGAUACCCUGGUAGUCCUAGCCCUAAACCAUCAGACUUGGGGUUUGCCCUGUACGGGGCAAGUCCCGUAGCUAACGCGUUAAGUCCUGCGCCUGGGGAGUACGGUCGCA
Molecule: ribosomal RNA, 866 nt
Filed under: uncultured bacterium
Lineage: Bacteria
Description: bacterial SSU rRNA
Rfam family: Bacterial small subunit ribosomal RNA
Source: RNAcentral